GGGCCCUGCUCAAUGAGCUUACAUGCUAGAGGGAGUGGCACAAAAGAUAAGGGUAGGGUAGAAAAGUAGGUAGUAUUCUACCAAUCUACUUCUUUAUUACAAUCCUUACCUUUUGUGUCACUAUACCCCACUCCCUCUAGCAUGUAAGCUCAUUGAGCAGGGCCC
Molecule: microRNA precursor, 165 nt
Filed under: Pelobates cultripes (western spadefoot toad)
Lineage: Eukaryota; Metazoa; Chordata; Amphibia; Anura; Pelobatidae
Source: RNAcentral